AUUGAACGCUGGCGGCAUGCCUUACACAUGCAAGUCGAACGGCAGCACGGGAGCAAUCCUGGUGGCGAGUGGCGAACGGGUGAGUAAAGUAUCGGAACGUGCCCAGUCGUGGGGGAUCACGUAGCGAAAGUUACGCUAAUACCGCCUACGAUCUAUGGAUGAAAGCGGGGGAUCGGAAGACCUCGCGCGAUUGGAUCGGCCGAUAUCGGAUUAGGUAGUUGGUGGGGUAAAGGCUCACCAAGCCGACGAUCUGUAGCUGGUCUGAGAGGACGACCAGCCACACUGGGACUGAGACACGGCCCAGACUCCUACGGGAGGCAGCAGUGGGGAAUUUUGGACAAUGGGCGAAAGCCUGAUCCAGCCAUGCCGCGUGCAGGAUGAAGGCCUUCGGGUUGUAAACUGCUUUUGUAUGGAACGAAAAGGUUUGGCCUAAUAAGCUGAGCUCAUGACGGUACCGUAAGAAUAAGCACCGGCUAACUACGUGCCAGCCGCCGCCGUAA
This 500-nucleotide ribosomal RNA is filed under the name uncultured bacterium. RNAcentral's name for it is "partial 16S ribosomal RNA". It matches the Rfam family "Bacterial small subunit ribosomal RNA", at positions 30 to 523 of the family's 1533-position model. The record is from RNAcentral.